UAAUAUCUGCACAUGCGCAGAUGUACAGCACAUUCAAAGCUCACUCUUCAGCGAUCGGUGCCAUUUUUGAAUCAGAUGAAGAUCACAGUGCCAAACGAGGAACGUUUUCUUUGUGGAAACACAGAGUUUUAUAGUCCUACAUGUGGCUGUGCAGAGAUUGUGGUUCCUCUCACACAUCCAGAUCAAAUCCAGCACUCUUUAUAGAGCAAGAGGUAUCUGUGAAAUUCAGUUGGAUUACAACAAUCCCUUUGGUCUCCAAAUAUAUGGGACUGCUUGAUAAUUUCUCAAACCAAAGAAAGGAGCAGCAGCAGCACAGAAGAUCACAAACAUCCUGUCAGUUAUG
Long non-coding RNA from Sinocyclocheilus anshuiensis, 343 nucleotides. RefSeq lists it as uncharacterized. The record is from RefSeq and is a predicted model, not a curated record. NCBI's taxonomy places the organism in Eukaryota, Metazoa, Chordata, Actinopteri, Cypriniformes, Cyprinidae. The transcript is spliced from 3 exons.